CGAUGAAGGCCCUAUGGGUUGUAAAGUUCUGUUGCAUGGGACGAACGAUUAGGAUAGGAAAUGAUCUUAAUGUGACGGUACCAUGCCAGAAAGCUCCGGCUAACUACGUGCCAGCAGCCGCGGUAAUACGUAGGGAGCAAGCGUUAUCCGGAUUUAUUGGGCGUAAAGGGUGCGUAGGCGGUUUGUUAAGUAUGAGAUUAAAGCCCGAGGCUUAACCUCGGUUCGUUUCAUAAACUGGCAGGCUUGAGUGUGGCAGAGGUAAACGGAAUUUCUAGUGUAGCGGUUAAAUGCGUAGAUAUUAGAAGGAACACCAGUGGCGAAGGCGGUUUACUGGGCCAUAACUGACGCUGAGGCACGAAAGCGUGGGGAGCAAAUAGGAUUAGAUACCCUAGUAGUCCACGCCGUAAACGAUGAGUACUAAGUGUUGGGGCAACCCAGUGCUGAAGUUAACACAUUAAGUACUCCGCCUGAGUAGUACGGUCGCAAGGCUGAAACUCAAAGGAAUUGACGGGCACCCGCACAAGCGGUGGAGCAUGCUGUUUAAUUCGAAGAUACGCGAAGAACCUUACCAGGGCUUGACAUCCCACUGACCGCUUUAGAAAUAAGGCUUUCCCUUCGGGGACAGUGGUGACAGGUGGUGCAUGGUUGUCGUCAGCUCGUGUCGUGAGAUGUUCGGUUAAGUCCGAUAACGAGCGCAACCCUUUUCUCUAAUUGCUAACAUUCAGUUGAGAACCUUAGAGAUACUGCCGGUGACAAACCGGAGGAAGGUGGGGAUGACGUCAAAUCAUCAUGCCCCUUACGUCCUGGGCUACAGGCGUGCUAUAAUGGCAGAUAUAAAAAGUCGCAAAACCGUGAGGUGGAGCUAAUCUGUAAAGUCUGUCUCAGUUCGGAUUGAAGUCUGCAACUCGACUUCAUGAAGCUAGAAUUGCUAGUAAUCGUGGAUCAGAAUGCCACGGUGAAUACGUUCCCGGGUGUUGUACACACCGCCCGUCACGCCAUGGGAGUCUGUAAUAUCUAAAAAUGGUAGCCUAACCGUUUACGGAGGGAUCCAUCUAAGGUAGGACAGGUGACUGGGGUGAAGUCGUAACAAGGUAUCACUACCGGAAGGUGGGGAUG
RNAcentral lists this ribosomal RNA (1116 nucleotides) under human gut metagenome. Its description in RNAcentral is "bacterial SSU rRNA". It matches the Rfam family "Bacterial small subunit ribosomal RNA", at positions 406 to 1520 of the family's 1533-position model. The record is from RNAcentral.